Aricia agestis (brown argus) is the source of this 118-nucleotide long non-coding RNA. RefSeq lists it as uncharacterized. The transcript has 3 exons. NCBI's taxonomy places the organism in Eukaryota, Metazoa, Arthropoda, Insecta, Lepidoptera, Lycaenidae. The record is from RefSeq and is a predicted model, not a curated record.
AUAGACAAAAUUGUUGUCAAACGUCGAAGAAAACUUUUUAUUUACUGCAUAUGCUAGUGAUGCCUCUAGUGUCAAAACAUUGCAGUGAUAUAUCCAUAAAUAGGAAGAUAAACCCCAA